Salvia miltiorrhiza (redroot sage) is the source of this 931-nucleotide long non-coding RNA. RefSeq lists it as uncharacterized. The transcript has 2 exons. Lineage: Eukaryota; Viridiplantae; Streptophyta; Magnoliopsida; Lamiales; Lamiaceae. The record is from RefSeq and is a predicted model, not a curated record.
CAAAAUCGCUCCAUCGUGCGGUUUGAAUUAAAUCAGCAAGCCACAUUUAAUUACAAUAUAAACGGACGAAAUUUACUUAUAACUACAAAAAGGGUAUAUUGGUAACAUUGAAAAUGAGUAAAACGAAACAUUCCAAAUUUACUCCACAAUUAUCGAAAUAGAUCUUCUCCCCGUUUACUGCAUAUUUUUUACUCUCUCUCUCUCUCUCUCUCUCUCUCUCUCUCUCUCUCUCGUUCCAAUCCCUCGUCCCUUCUCCCCAUUCGACGGUUGCCGACAUCUGUUCUGGAACUCACGCAGUGUGAGAUCGAAAAAUUGCGACUGAAUGUUGCGGUCGCAGGCGGUGCUGUCACGACCAUGGUGGCAUGGAUCUUGUCGUCGAACUGAGCCUUCUUCAAUUACGUUGUUGAAGACGGCUAAGAACGGCAGAAGACGGGCUAUCGACGCCGCCUUUCCGAUGUCUAAUCUAAUAUUAUUUGACAUUUCUAGCUAUUGUAUCAAUCAGCCCCAUGUUGAGAGAGUUUGAUCAUAAGAGCCAAGGAUUUCAACAUUGUUUUUGAUUAUGUGGCCAUCACACACUUGUCGUAUGGUGCCUAAUUCUCAAAGGUUGUGGAGCAGAAGCAAGUGGCCCAACAAUAGGUGCAGAGAUCAAAGUUUGUAGUCAUGAAGGCAGAGCUGCUAUUGUUAGGGUUGAGGGUGAAACUGAGUCUGCCAAGCUAAUUUAUGAUGCAACUGUAACUUCAGGGGUGAGUUUGAUCGAGCUGAGGAAGAUUGAGGCAGCUGCAGGAGAGGAAGAAAUUGAAUUAUUUUAAUUGUUUCAUUUAGGUUUCUGUUCAUUUAAGAAUAUAUCUUGUUCGUUAGAAAUUUUGUUAUGUUCAUUUAUAAAAUAUAAUUCUUUGUAGCAUAAUAUAUUCAUGAAUUACUUUUUUCAGUA